Long non-coding RNA from Leopardus geoffroyi (Geoffroy's cat), 8688 nucleotides. RefSeq lists it as uncharacterized. NCBI's taxonomy places the organism in Eukaryota, Metazoa, Chordata, Mammalia, Carnivora, Felidae. The transcript has 2 exons. The record is from RefSeq and is a predicted model, not a curated record.
GCCAUGCACUCGCUAAGAAUAAAUCAGAAAUCCUAUACUUUCUGCGUUCGGUGUUAGAUUCCACAGCGGAACAAACACCUCUUGCCUUAUGCAGUCUGGUUUCACGGAUUGCACAGGCUCCUUGGUUGAUCUGAAUGUCAACCUGGGCUGGGGGCUGCUGUUCAGCAUUUAGGGUUCCUCUGAAGGGAAUGCAGAGAAGUCAAGUCAAAAUGUGCCAAAGAUGUUACCAACAAUCAUGUCUUGUUGUGAUACUUUGAGUAACUUAUAUUAUUUUUCAGUUUUUUCCUUCCAUUUCCAAUAUGCAAAUAUACUUCCUAAUUUAAAAAAAUAAACGUUUAUAAAGAAUCUUGUAGAUAAAGAACAAUAACAGAAAUCACUGUACAGGAGGACUGGAAGGAAAUAAGACAAAAUGCUGCCUUUAGAUGUCUGGCCGGGAAGAAGAUCUACAUGUUCAUGAAAACAUCACAGGAGAAAUAAAUGUGAAAGAACAUCAGGGGAAGAUGGACUCAUGUCUUGGAGUAAGAUCUUGCAACUUUGUCAUUUUGUAGUUUGUGUCUCUUGGUGGAGGAGAUUCCAUCCACAGCCAGUGGUGGUGACCCAACACUGCUGGGCCAUUCCUGGUUCCCUUGCUGUGAGUGUGACACAGGGUGCUGGUCCGCUCUGGCUGAAGGGAAGAGGGUCAUGAAUGGAGAGCAAGGGGAGGCAGAAGGGUGGGCCAGUGGGAUCCGGGAUUGCCCCAAGGAUCUGGGCAACCAAAGCCAAGAGGAGCACACCAACUGCCCAUGGGCUAAGGUCGGCAGUCUGGGGAAGCUGAGACAAAAAAAAAAAAAAAAACAAAAAAACCCGGGGGUUCAGCAAGGGGGACACGGAUACUCAAAGCAGAGGGGAAAUUCUACUUAUGGACCUUCAUGGCAUUCCAAAAUUAGUUAACCCCUGGGAGAGGCUAAAUAUUGAUAGUUUUUCUCCCUGUCCCUCUGGCCAACUGCCUUUUUUAGGGGUCCUCGUUAGCCCCAUUAUAGUUCAACCCACCUCAUUCCUUUCCAUUCUGUUCACCCCACUCUGUGCCAAGCGCUGCUUGGCGACACCAGAGGACUGUGUGUUGGGAUAAGGAAGAAACAAGGUAAAUGUAUUACAUGACUAGUGCUGUCCUUCGGGCAGGGGCAACAUGGUAGCUGAUGGGCUGAGGCGGGCAGGAAAGGCUUCCAGAGGAGCAGGUACUGAGCUGGGUCCUCAAGGACACUGUGAGCAGCCUCCCAGCACAUCUGAGAGAGGAGGGCGAUUUCUGGAAGAUACAUAAGAGUGACGGAUGCCCCUGCCAUGUGCCUGGUGGAUGUCAGCUUCUGAACUGCAGGUGUGUUCAGAGGAGAUCUGGGGCCAUGAGGCUACCACACAAGUGGAGUGGCCUCCAAAGGGCAUUAACUGACCUGCUGAGGGAUCUGUAAUGAGGGGGAGAGACAGGUCUGAUUUGAACUUGGCAGUGGGUGACCAUGUGGGACAAUAUGGAUAGGUACCUCUGUUACCCUCGGUAUCGUGUCUUCAUUUGGGGGAGAAGAAAUUCUAAAUUUAUCAUUUAAUCAGAUGACUUUAGAAAAGUAGCUAUCUAGGUGCUGAGAAAAUUGGUUCAUUCAUUCAUACUUCAUGUAUUCAUUCAAAACAAUUCUUGUACCUCAGUUUAUAUUUCCUACUGCUUAAAUUUCUGUGGUGUCUACACAGAUUGUUAAGGCAUUGUUCUAAUCUCAAGAACCUUAAAAACAGAAGGAGGGGAAGGUGAGGACUAACCCCAUGGUGUUAACCCAUAAACUGAGCUGGUCACAUCACCACCUCACCACUACUUAAAAUGUCCCAGUGGGUUUCUAUUUCUCUCAGGAAAAGUACAAACUUUUAUCCAGGCCAAAACAUCCCUCUAUGGCCUCACCUCCUGAGACCCAUCUCUUAGCACCUCCCUUCUUUUCCCUCCAUGCCAGCCUCAUGGUCCUUCUUUAUGUGGUCCUUACCAGACUGUCUUCAACCACAGGCCUUUGACACAUGUUGUUCCCUCUACCACUGUCAUCUCCCUGGGUUCAUGUGUACUCAUCCUUCUAAGUGCACAUCAAUGCUGCUUCCUCGGGGUAGGCUUUCCUGGUCUAUUUAAAUUGACUCUGUCCUUAGUACACAACUCAUACUCCAUAUAACAUCCUUCAUAAGUCUUAUCCCAGUCACAAGAAUUUUUCAUUUAUGUACAUGAUAACUUUAUUAAUAUCUGUAUUCACCAGACUGUAAGCUCCAUGAGAACAAGGGCUGUGUCUUUCCAAAAAAAUCAACUUUACUGAGGCAUAAUUUUUGUACAACAAACACACCCACUUCACACGCACAUUUCAAUGAGUGUUGACAAAUUUACACAAAAAUGGAUUCACUGUGUAACCACCAACACGGUCAAGAUGUGGAACAUUUCCAUCGCCUCAAAAAGCUCCUCUGUGCCUCAUCCCAGUCAACUCUCUGCUUUGCUUCCUGUCUCUAUAGAUUAGCCUUUUCUAGAGUUUCAUAUAAAUGGAACCAUGCAAUAAGCAUUGUUGUGUCUGGCUUCUUCCAUUCAACAUAAUGUUUUUGAGAGUCAUCCUUGUUGUUGUAUCAGUGGUUCGUUGCUUUUUGUUGCUGAAUACUCUUCUCCAGUUGGUUCAUGGAAAUUACCUGUGUCUCUUCAGGUAAGCCUUUAGCUCCUUAAGGACAGAGGCCACAUUCUUUGACACCUCUGAUACUUGGUGUGGGCCUAGGCACAUAGGAGACCUGUGGGAGUAGCAGAAUCCAUCUUCCCUGACCCAGGGCAUGGGAGUGGCCACUCUGUACCCACAUUCAACAGUCACCCUGAUACUCACAGUCUUCCCCUCCAUGCCCACAGGCUGACCUUCUUGGCCCAGGGCUCCCAAGCACAUUUACCUCCUUCAGAAUCAGUCUGAUGCCUCUCACAGCAAUGCAGAGAAGUCCUGGGCCAGCCACAGCAGUUAGGGGGCAAAGCUGGGAGAUCACAGGCAGAUCAGAUCCCUCUGACACUGGGCACGUUGAUUUCCUUAACUGCCAAACAGAGACACUGCUGUCUACUUCACAGGGCCACUAAGUGGGCAAAUGUGUGUGAAAGUGCCACUUGAAGUAGAAAACACAAUACUACACAGUAAGAGUGAAUUUAAUCAUUUAAUGGAAUUAACAAGGGCCUGUGUUACUUGGGACCCCUUUUCCCUCUCAGGACCUUCAAUUUCUUUACCCAUCAGAUGAAAAGUUGAGCUAGAGUUCCCUAAGAUGCCUUCUGUCUUGAACCUUCUUGGAUUCUAAGGUGCUGGCAUAUGAGAGAAAGGGCCUGAUGAUCCAGAAUUAGAAAAAAAUUUGUGUGAUUUUUUAGAGAACAACUGACUUCUCUGAAAGUUCUCUUCCUGAGUAAAGGAUUCAGCUCUAGUUGUGAGACCAAACCAAUGUUUUUGCAUUAAUAGCCUUAAAUCUGCCACUCUUUCCAAGCCUGUCAUGGAAAGUACUAGAGCUCCUUUCUUCCCAUGUGCUGGCUGGUGCUAUGUGGCACGUCUUUUGCUGGACUAGAUCUUUGAUGGGUCCCCAUUACUGGAAGAGCAGGAACAGCCUCCCCUUUUGCAAAAGCCAAUAGUUCAGUUCAAAUGACUCUUUGUGGGCCCUGUCACUCAACAAAGGAUUCCUGAGGGCCCAGGUGUGUUAGGGGUUUUAUAAGUGUUGUCUCUCUCUGCCUGUGCUGGAAGUCUUAGACCACAAUUUAAGAUGGAGAAAUGGCUCAGUGAGGUGUGUAAAUGAUCAAGUUGGAGCUAAAUCACCAGGUCCUCCUUUCUGCUCUAAUAGGCGUUGCACUAGGCCCAGGGGAUUCCAAAAUGGUUCAGUCACACUUGAAUUCUUAGAGGCCAGGAAGCGAAAGCAAUAGUUUAAUAUUUAUUGAAGAGAAACCCAAGGCUGUCAAGGUUGUCACUAACUCACCAUCUUGUUCAACUCCCUCAUUUUACUGAUGAGCCGACAGGAGUCCAGAGAAGUGGUCUGACUUGCCUGGAGUGACACAGCCAGCUGGCUGCCAGCAGGAGCUGUUACCCAGGCCUCCUGACUCCCAGAUUGGGGCUUUCAUGGCCAGAGCAUGCCCUGGGGCAGAACGGGGACUGUGGCCAGAAACAAGGAAGUGUGGAAUUAGGAACAAGGCUAUAUUUCCAAAUCACUGUCUCCAGCAUGCCGGCUGGGAGCGAAGAAGAAGAAUGGCGUUCUGGGAACCAGUCAGCAGAAACCAUUUCAUAACUGCCCUUAAAAUAGUACAAUGCUGUGUCCUUUUCCUGUGACCUCUGGAAGACUGGAGGACAAAUCUCAGAACAACCAUUUUGUGAGACUGCAUUUCCUUGCUCCCACCCCCCCGCCCCACACCCUCGCGUCAAUGUAAAGACCCAAGGACCUCGGAGUAGCAAUUCCCAUUUUGUAAUCGGUACCAACUCCGUUUGCUAUUUGGUCCCAAACCCCCUUUGUUUUGAAAAAUCUUGGCUAACUAUUAGGUUGUGUUUAUUAAUCAGUCCCCAGUUAUUUCCCCCAUUCUAUCAUUCUCAAAGACAGAACCUCCAGAUCAGUGUGAGGUGAUCAGUGAAUCAGUGGACACUGGCAAGUGCCCUGACUGCCCACCACCCGUCAGGGCUCAUGCCGGGUAAGCAUGCAGCCAUCUUGGCUCCUUGGAUCUUCCCACCAACCCUGGGAGGUCGGUACCCAUUUUCCCCACCUCAAGUGCAGUGAGCAGUGUUCAGGAAAGCCAUCGUGCCAGGACAUGGCAGAGCCAGGAAAUCUGAGCCCUGAGCUGUGCUGGCAAGGCUCCCCCAUUAGCCUGGGCGUCUUACCACCAUCAGAAAGAGCACGCAGGCACUCUGAGCCUAGCCCCUGACUGCCUCUAGGGGAAGCCCUUCUAGAGUCUGAGGUGUCUGAGGAGCUGUGGAGGGGCAAGGUAAGAUCCAGCAGGACCCCCAGCCAUCCCGGGAACACUGGACAGGGCCACACAGGGCUCCUCAGCAGUGGGCAUGGUGACUGCUCAGCCAACAGGACACAGGCUUUGCACAAGCGGGCACAUUCCCACAGAUGACUCAGGAGGCAAGACGAUAGGAUGGGGUUUGCAAGUCAGACCCAGACUGGCCCAUCUCAUAGCUGUGUGAACUCAAGCCUUGCUUUUCUCGCCUGUAAAAUGGGGCCAAUACAAGCUACCUCAGUGUUACUUCAGAUGAUCUGAUGAGAGAGGUGUUGCCUGAUGCCUGGAAGAUAGUUAGGGCUUAAUAAUUGAGAGCUGCCCUUCUUGAUGCAGGGCGGGUGUUCCUCUGAGUCCCCCUUGGCCACAAACUUGGAAUAUUCGAUUUCUGCUUCACCCAGAGUCUGCAGCACAGUAAGACUGUCGGCGACUGUGGCCCAGGUCAUCUGCACUGGCCUCCAGAGCAGCCCUCUGUGAACCACUGACACUCGUUGCCAAUCGGGGUAGAAGCAUGCCUGCUCCAUGCCACGACCUGGGGCGGCCCCCAUGCCAGGACAAUGGUGCUGGAACACUGACCUAGAGAAGCUGACCAUAAAUGGGGGUAAAAUGGGGGUGCUAAUGGUUCAGAAGUUUGUUUUUAGGGAGGAUUUAAUGAGGUAAUAUAGGGAAAGGACAGUGCCGGGCUCAUAAUAUGUGCUCAGUGAAACUUAGCCGUAAUCAUAAGAAUUAUUAUCUCCUAGUGGCCAAGUAAUAUCUUAUUCUCUCAAAGGCCAUGUAGGGGUGCAAUCAUCACUUUCCCACUUUACAGAUGGGGAAGUCAAGGGGAGUGGCAGGAACCUCCCCAACACACAAGGUGUAGAUCCUUUCACUUGCACCCCGUGGCCAUCCAGGUGGCUCUGGCUGGGCUCUGGGCAACCCAGUGGGCAGUGGUGAGGUGGUGCCUUGUGCGGGAGCAGAACCCCUCGAGGCUCUUCGACCUCCCUUACCCUCCCGGCCAUUCCAGACUUUCCCCCGCCACUUCCAAGCGCGCCAGGACUCAGGCGCAAAGCUGCAAGAGCUGGCCUCAAGGGGGCAGCAGGAGCCUGGGAAACUCUAGGCUGGCUGGACUAGGAAUCUGAGUGCCACAGAAGGCUAGCCAGGGUGCCCUGGGGGGAAUGCUGACCGGCUGAGGGCCAUGCUGCCUGUGCCUGGAGCUGAACUCAGGGCUGGGAUGCAAGAGAGGGGGAGGACAGGAGGGCACUGAAUUCAGAUGCUCGGCCUCCUCCCGAACUCCGUUCUCCCUGGCCAGCUUGUUUCCGUUCUGCUCAGUAAAUAGGGGCUGCACUGAUCCAGGUGCCAUGGGGGAUUAAAUGUGCACAUUCCCAGCCCUCCAGAAAGUGAGGGAGGCCAGUGCAGCCUGGGGAGUGCAGGACCAGGGGGUUCAGGUGGGGGGUGUGGGGUGCAUCAUGACAGAGUCUGUCAGAAAGGGCAUCUUCCAAGCCACCAAAGACCAUGCAGAGACCAGGAUGUUCCUUAGAACUGCGCCUGGACCCCUCUGGCCUCUGCCUAAGGAACUUGCUCACCACCUUGUGGUUCUAGGGUCCGUGAAGGGCCAGAUUCCUGGGCCUUCCCCAAGCCUUGGAGUCAGAAGGUCUGUAGUUUUAGCCAGUUGUCCAGGGGACCUUUGCGCAGGCUCACAUCUGACAGCCUCUGCUAUGAGCCCACAGAAGGGAUGAAUACAGCUGUUUAUCGAUCUCUCCUUGCCAGGCCCUGAGUUAAGUGCUCUUUAGAUACCAUUCUAUGUAUUUCCCCCCCUUCACAAUAUUCCUUCAUCUGUUCUUUACAAAUAACGACCUGGACUAUGGCUCAGAGAGGUGAAGUGAUGUGUCCAAGGGCACACAGCACUUAGUACCUGAAGCAGGAUCAGAACUCAGGGCAGUGUGGUUCUAGAGCAUGCCUGCUUUCACUCUCCAUGUAACCAAGCAAGGGUUAGAGAAGCAGCAAAGGCUGUGCCUAACCCAUGGCCAAGGAAAGGAGCCAGGAUGACCUUGGACUCAAGAGAGGGGCUUAUCUUGGACUCUGCAGCUUGGGGCCUGGCACAUAGCAAACACUGAAAUGCUUCGACUUCUGUUUUUUAACAUUUGGAGAUAACAGGGAGAGCAAAGCCUUCUGUUCUCUCCUCCACCCCGGUCCCUGCCAGAGAUGGUUCUGUCCUCCUGGUCAGACCAGAGUCCAUGUGGCUCUGGUCUCGAACCCUGUGCAUCUUGGCAGGAAAGGGGGUGGGGAGGGGAAGAGAAGGGUCUGGGUCUAAGGUUCCCUGGCAAUCUGUUUUCCGACUCCUGAGCUCCUUGGAAGCUGGACUUCCAGAUCUAUUUCCUUCAGUGUCAUUAUCUGAAACAUAGAUCUCCUGCGUCUGGUCUCACUGGCAGUUUGCAAGUAUUCUGUGAGAUCAUGUGGGAGGAGAGAGGCCUGCAAACCCAGAUGCGCAGUUCAAAUGUCUACCAUUACUCAGGACAACUGCUCAGAAAUUGGGAUCAGUGUGGGGCCAUCAGACGAUGACCAUCUCUCUACCCCGCUAGUCAAAUAAGAUUCAAAUAGUCCACUGGAAUGGGCCUGUGGCGGCCUCUAGCUCUGUUAGCUUAGACAGCCUCUCUCAUCUGUGCCCCCUCACCCUCUCUAAUCUGUCUCUUUCUUCACCAUUCAAAUUAGUUAUUUGAAUGACCAGAAGCCCGAAGUUCCUUUCCGGGCCCAGUGGCCCCCAACUUGCCCAAGAACUCUCUUCCCUCGGGCUUCUGCAAACUGAGAAAUUCCAAGAUUCCCACCGUGCUCAGGUCCCUCCUUUGGCCACCUGACACUGCCUGCUCAACACAGGGGGCCCACAGGUCAUCAGCGAAGCACCCACUUCUCCCCAGCCUGCGGAGACAAGAAAGAAAGAGGCCACAUGUGCAUCCUUAGGCUUCCUAGACAGGUGCAUCUCUUCUGUGGCCAAAGUGGCCACAGGUGGACUUAGAAUGUUGAUGGAACAGUCACAGGGAAAAGAAACACACAGAGAUAGUAAUAAUGCUGACGGUUCCUGAGCAGAGAAAUGACCUUCAGAUGCUACUCACCUGUGGUGGCACCAGAUCCCUUUCACCUUUGGAAUCUCUCUGGUCUUCCUGUUCCAGAACAUCUUCAGCUCGUGGCUCAACCUGCAGGGGCAACUAUGACGUGGUGACAGCUCACUGGCUCCUUAGAGAUGGGCUCAUGUCUCAGAAUCCCCCAAUUUGGGCAAGUGCUUUCCUCUUUCGGUGCUUCCAUUUGCACAUCUGUAGGAUGGGCUCUCCCUACCCCUGCUCCCCUGAUCUCAGAUUAGUGGGAGGGUCUGAUGAGAUGGCCUGUAGAUGUGAAUGCUCCACACUUAGCACACGUGGGCCCCACCCUCUUGCCGAAUCUCCAGGCUUUCUAGAAUGUUGUUAAUUGGUAGUGAAUAAAUCUCUGACUCCUCAAAUAAGGAUAAAAAGACUACUUUCAUUUGACUUCACCCUGCAAUUCUGGGACUCUAACCAGUAGAAAUGAAAACGAAGGAUGCAAGGAUAUGGAUGAUUAUCACCACGCUGGUUGUAUUUGUUACGAGGGGACUAGAAGAACCCUACAAAACUAAUGUGCAUCACUAAUGGAGAGGCUGAAUAAACUAUGGUACGAUGACCACUUUGUUGGAUUAAGCAGCUAUGACAAUAAAGAAUGUUUUCUUUUUCUUUUGA